This 536-nucleotide ribosomal RNA is filed under the name Acanthormius sp. 3 DLJQ-2021a. RNAcentral describes it as "Acanthormius sp. QL-2013 partial 12S ribosomal RNA". The record is from RNAcentral. Lineage: Eukaryota; Metazoa; Arthropoda; Insecta; Hymenoptera; Braconidae.
AUAAUUAAUUAAAAAAAUUUUUUCUUGAUAAAAUAUAAAUAAUUAAAUUAAUUAAUAAUAUAAUAAUAAAAUUAAAUAAAUAAAUAAAAAACUAGGAUUAGAUACCCUACUAUUCUACUAAACAAAUAAAAUUUAAAUAUUAAAUAAUAAAUUCUAAAUUUAAAAAAUUUGACAGUAUUUUACUUUAAUUAAAGGAAUUUAUUUUAUAAUUGAUAAUAAACAAUAAAAAAAACUUAAUAAAUAAUAUUUAUAUAUUGCUGUUUAAAUAAAUUUUUAUAAAUAAUAUAAUAAAAUUUCUUUAAAUAAAAAUUCAAGUCAUAAUAUAAUUUAUAAUUAAGAAAAAAAGAAUUACAAUAUAAAAACUUAAAUAAUAUAUUUUAAUUAUAUAUUAUAAAUAGAAUUUAAAAUUAAAAUAUUUUAAAUUAAAAUAUUUAAAAAAUAAAAUUAAAAUAGGUACAUAUCGCCCGUCAAUCUCAACAAAUUUAUAUGAGUUAAGUCGUAACAAAGUAAAACUACUGGAAAGUAUUUUUUUAAUU